AUGAUCAGGUUGAUAGGUCUGAGGUGGAAGUGUGGCGACACAUGGAGCUGACAGAUACUAAUCGAUCGAGGACUUAACCAAUUU
Molecule: ribosomal RNA, 84 nt
Filed under: Bacillus amyloliquefaciens
Lineage: Bacteria; Bacillati; Bacillota; Bacilli; Caryophanales; Bacillaceae
Description: partial 23S ribosomal RNA
Source: RNAcentral